GCAGUACCUUCCCUCUUCAGAUUGGAAAAGGAAAACACUUUCCCAGCUUUCCUUGCAACUAGAGUGACCAUGUGACACAAUUCUGGUGGUAAGGCAAAGUGAAAACGUGUGGGGGCCCACAGGAACCUAAGAAGGCUCUUCAGUUUGUUGUCUAGUGAAGCAGCAGCCAACACUCCAUCACUGAUCUCACAGGCAUAAGGGAAAACCAAAGGCAUUCCGGAGAUGCCAGUCCUGAUAGCAUCAAGCCUUGACACUGAGGCAAGCAGAAGUCUACUUGUGAGAAAAAUUAACUCCUCCUUGUUUCCCAUUUGUAUGAGACAAAAUCUCACUGUGUUACCCAGGCCGCUCAAGUAC
Molecule: long non-coding RNA, 354 nt
Filed under: Homo sapiens (human)
Lineage: Eukaryota; Metazoa; Chordata; Mammalia; Primates; Hominidae
Description: HSALNT0303216
Source: RNAcentral